Wyeomyia smithii (pitcher-plant mosquito) is the source of this 518-nucleotide long non-coding RNA. RefSeq lists it as uncharacterized. The record is from RefSeq and is a predicted model, not a curated record. NCBI's taxonomy places the organism in Eukaryota, Metazoa, Arthropoda, Insecta, Diptera, Culicidae. The transcript has 3 exons.
CUUAAGGCUUUUAGAUAUUUUUUGAAAUGAGAUAAAGUGCUGAAACGGAAGAAGUUAUACUAAAAUUAUAACAGGAAGAAAAAUAAUAACGAAGCGGAAGAAAAGUUAUAAAAAGACUAAAGAGAAGAGAGAAUAGGCUGCUGGCCACGUGAGGCUGUGAAUAAAUCUCAAACUAGUGAUAGUACCAAUCGUAAACUAAAAGAAACCUUCAGGCGAAGGUUUUUUUAUUUUCCGCUAGGAAUAUCAGGGAGUUGACAGGAGUCCUCCCCAGCGUCCGUCGGCAAAGUUUAACGCCCGGCGCCCUCAACCCGUUCAUUACCAACAACCGUCACCAGCCAAUUUUCCGCUAGACAGCUCCUUGGUGACGACCAAGUGGUAGCUAAGCGACCAUCUUCGUCGUCGUGGGACCCAGCAAGAAACCAGCAAACAGGUUAGAUUUAAAAAAAAACCGCAUGCGCGACAAAGUUGUACAGGGUCGAUAAAGAAGGGAAGACGAAAAUAAAUGAGUACGCACUGUA